GAUGAACGCUGGCGGCGUGCUUAACACAUGCAAGUCGAACGGUGAAGCCAAGCUUGCUUGGUGGAUCAGUGGCGAACGGGUGAGUAACACGUGAGCAACCUGCCCUGGACUCUGGGAUAAGCGCUGGAAACGGCGUCUAAUACUGGAUAUGAGCCUCUUCCGCAUGGUGGGGGUUGGAAAGAUUUUUUGGUCUGGGAUGGGCUCGCGGCCUAUCAGCUUGUUGGUGAGGUAAUGGCUCACCAAGGCGUCGACGGGUAGCCGGCCUGAGAGGGUGACCGGCCACACUGGGACUGAGACACGGCCCAGACUCCUACGGGAGGCAGCAGUGGGGAAUAUUGCACAAUGGGCGAAAGCCUGAUGCAGCAACGCCGCGUGAGGGAUGUCGGCCUUCGGGUUGUAAACCUCUUUUAGCAGGGAAGAAGCGAAAGUGACGGUACCUGCAGAAAAAGCGCCGGCUAACUACGUG
This 466-nucleotide ribosomal RNA is filed under the name uncultured bacterium. Its description in RNAcentral is "partial 16S ribosomal RNA". It matches the Rfam family "Bacterial small subunit ribosomal RNA", at positions 28 to 507 of the family's 1533-position model. The record is from RNAcentral.